CGAAUGUUGAAGCUCCGAUACUUGGCAGUGAAAUCAAUUUAGAGAAUGCAUUACCAUGUAGAAUUGCAUUUGAGAAAGGGAAAGAACGUCACUUUUGCCUCCUAGCAAUAUCUAGUGGGAUAUCUGGUUGGGUUGUCCUAGCAGAAGAGUUGCCCCUCAAGCAGCACUACGGAGUAGUUCAUGUCACGGCACCCUUGGCCGGUUCUGAUCCCAAG
Molecule: unclassified non-coding RNA, 215 nt
Filed under: Hevea brasiliensis (rubber tree)
Lineage: Eukaryota; Viridiplantae; Streptophyta; Magnoliopsida; Malpighiales; Euphorbiaceae
Source: RNAcentral